GAGAUGUUGUCUUCGGGCCACAUCUUGUUGCCCUCGGAACCAUUGACGCUCAUUAGAAACAUGUGGAUGUGAUGGAGCCAGGCUGGCCUGGGCUCUUGGACCUGGCCCAGGCAUCGCUGGCCAGUCCCUUCUCAUGGCUUCGGAAACUUCACCUGCAGGUGGCACUCUUAUCUGGGUGAGAAACUAGCAUGUGGGAACCAUACUCAAGACAAGCAGCUCUGAGAAACCACCAAGCACAGGGCUCUUCAAAUCAGGAAGGCAGCAGAUACCCCACUGGUCCCCUUUCCUCCUUAUGGGGGGCAGAUUCUGUAUCCCCAGGAAAGGAAGCUUUCGUUUGGCCAGUUACUCCUGUUUUGUUCAAAAUAAUUUAUUUACGAGCCUUACAAAAAUACAUUGGCAAGAGAAAAAAAAUAAAAGUCCUCUAGGAACAGGC
RNAcentral lists this long non-coding RNA (433 nucleotides) under Mus spretus (western wild mouse). RNAcentral describes it as "lncRNA (ENSMSPG00010051049.1)". Lineage: Eukaryota; Metazoa; Chordata; Mammalia; Rodentia; Muridae. The record is from RNAcentral.